CAAACGAGCACUUUUGCUAAAUACAUUUUGAAAACAGUUAAUUGAUACAGUUAAUACAAUCGAUCAAUUGACCAAUUGUUGUGGUCAGGUAAAGCUGUAAAUUAGAGACAAAACAGGGUAUCCGCAGGGUCUUGAAGUAUUAAAAGGUGAUAAAUCAAUUUUGGGAAAAUUAAGACCCUUAAAAAGUAUUAAAAAGUCUUAUCACGGCUUUAUAAAGUCUUACAUUUUGAAAGUAUUUUUUCUGAAUUAGCUGUCCAACAGUUUGAGUCCCAAAAACAUCGUAAAAGUGUGUGAAUUUAGUCAUUUUUAUUAAAAAAACGUACAGGUACAUAAAAAACUAGGCUAUUGUGGGUGCGUUCUUAAAUUGCCUCUGAGAGCACCAGAGCGGGCAGGCGGGCGGAAGUUCAAAAGCACAAUGUACGCUCUGGCGUUCCCAGUGCGUAUUACAACGCACCGAAAUGUUUUAAGAGAAGGUUGGUGAACGCAUGAACAGAAUGGGGAAGUGCAAAUUUGCAACGUCCUGGCUGGAAAUGCUGGACUUCAAAGAGUGGCUGCAGCCAGUCGAGGGGAAUGUCAGGGAGGCAUAUUGUACAUUAUGCAAGAAAAAAAUAAGUAUUGUGUCAAUGGGCAUUAACUCGUUAAAGUCCCACAUGUGUUGUGCUAGCCACAAAGCCGCUGCUAGCCGCCGAGAGCGGCAGCUCUCCAUCGCUAGCUUCUGUGGUAAUCGCGUUGCGCCACCACAACCUAGUGCCAACGUCGUUAAACCACCGGCAGUCGCACCUGAAGCUACAGCUACGACCCGGGCUGUCUCUGCUUCCUCAUCUUCUGCAGCCGACAUCAGAGUGGCUCUGGGCGGCACAGCAACACUGCGUGCUGAGGUGUUGUGGUGUCUCCACACAGCGGAGAAACACCAUUCACUGAACUCAAACGAAAACUUGGCUGAAGUUUUCAAGGCUAUGUUUCCAGAUUCGGAUAUAGAAAAGUCGUUCACUUGUGGCUAGGACAAAACUGGAUACAUCAUACGAUUCGGGUUAGCACCCAACAUGGCAUCAUGACUUCAAGCAGGAGCUCAUCAACACCAUCAACAAGGCUGGCCAGUUUGUGUUAAUGUUUGACGAGUCGCUCAACCAGUCAACAAAAACGAAACAGCUUGAUGUCCACAUUCGAUUCUGGGAAGAUGACCGUGUCCAAUCUAGGUACCUAGCCUGAAAAGGAAACGAACGGUUCUGACAGAGGUGUGCGACUCCCUCCAAACAGAUGCUGAUAAGUUAGCCGAGCAGGCAGAGGGGAAAUCUGGGAAAUUAAUGGCACAACUGAUCACGAAGUCCAACAUCCUCAGAAGACGUAGUAAAGAAAAACGGAACGAAUUGGUCCAAACUGAGAAGCUGCUGGGAACAAAAUCAGAAGGACUGAGGCACAUGUCAGCAUGAUUGUUGUUGAGGGUGGAGCAAAGUUUUGUUUUGUUUUUUAAUAAACUUUGCUUUGAUUUACUA
Molecule: long non-coding RNA, 1493 nt
Organism: Perca fluviatilis (European perch)
Lineage: Eukaryota; Metazoa; Chordata; Actinopteri; Perciformes; Percidae
Exons: 2
Source: RefSeq, a predicted model, not a curated record